This is a long non-coding RNA of Solanum lycopersicum (tomato), 831 nucleotides long. RefSeq lists it as uncharacterized. The record is from RefSeq and is a predicted model, not a curated record. Lineage: Eukaryota; Viridiplantae; Streptophyta; Magnoliopsida; Solanales; Solanaceae.
UAGUUAUAACAUUUAUUUUUUAAUUAAUAAUUUGUUAUAAAGCACGAUUUUCCCCGCGGCAGCCCAAAUGAUGAGUUGGACUUGAUAUUUUUUGGCCUACAAAAUUAUGAUGUCAGUCAGACUCGUCGAAUUUGAAAUCACUGUAGGCUCAACUUGGAUAUUAUUGGAUAUUAUACAGUAUGAAAAAGUAUAUCUAUCUGAAUCAUAAAAUAAACUCCAAAUUUUCAAGGCAGUACGAAACAUCAUAAAAGUUCAAGAGAAGCUACUGGAUUUUGAACAUUUCAAACUCCAAAAAAUUCCAAGACUGUGGGAGGCCAUAGUGGACAUAACUUGAAUAAGUGGCUCUUGGUUGCCAGCGAGGGUGCGAGGAGUUGGUCAUAGCGGCGAAAAAGAUUUGCCAGCCAAAAUUAGUAGUGCGACGACCUAGGGUUGCCGAUUUUGUGGAGAUUGGAAAAGGACGAACAGAAAAUAUUGAGAGUGUUCGAUGGAGAUGACGGGUUUGAGAGAGAGAGAGAAUAGCUAGAUUACCUCAUCGGCAAGAAGAGUGGUGACGGUGAAUUCCUGGUGGCUUCGGGAUACUUCACGGUGGAAUGGGUUGGGGGAGAAGAACAGGGGCAUCUUAUUUGGUCUUUUCAUUUAACAUUUGGAUUAAUAAUUUUAAAAAAUAAUUAAUAGAGAUAAUUAUGACAUGUUAUUGAUUUAUGUGACAUGGAUUUGACCUGUUAUCUAUUUAUGGGCAAGUGAAUUAGGAGGGGUUCAAAAAUCAAUUAGUACGGAAUUAAGUAGAAGAAUUCAUAAUACAAAUUCGAACAAAUAUAAGGAUUUAUGAGA